This 2119-nucleotide ribosomal RNA is filed under the name activated sludge metagenome. RNAcentral describes it as "bacterial LSU rRNA". It matches the Rfam family "Archaeal large subunit ribosomal RNA", at positions 203 to 2376 of the family's 2987-position model. The record is from RNAcentral.
AAAUCAACCGAGAUGUCGUUAGUAGAGGCGAUCGAACACGACAGAGUUCAAACUGAAUCCCCUCACGGGGAGAUGUGGUGUAGUAAGCCUACCGUCCGGAUAUCAAGGUCAAACGGAAGUCCUCUGGAACGUGGCACCAAAGAGGGUGAUAGUCCCGUACGUAUAAGCCGAGAUAUCCUGGUAGAGUCUUGAGUACCGCGGGUCGGAAUUCUCGCGGGAAUCUGGGGGUCAUCAACCUCCAAAGCUAAAUACUACUCGAAACCGAUAGCGUAUUAGUAGCGUGAGCGAAGGCUGAAAAGUAACCCUUGAAAGGUGGUUAAAAGCGCCUGAAACUGAUAGGUGAUGGUGAGUUACGGCGCGAAAGGAUCUUCCACGUGAAGGAACCCGUCGCGAGGCGGUAGUACGGGCGUGGUUGCCGGUGUCGUAACGUACGUUUUGAAGAACGGGCCAGAGAGUUUAUUCUGCAGGCGAAGGUUAACCCAAAAGGGGAGCCGAAGGGAAACCAACAUGUCCGUAGCGCUUGCAUGGGACGACGUAUUAAAAGUGCGUGGAGUCUGCAGGAUAAGACCCGAAGCCUAGCGAUCUAUGCGUGGGCAGGUUGAAGCGUGCCGAAAGGCGCGUGGAGGACCGCAAGCGGUUUUGAUAUGCAAAUCAUUCGCGUGACCUGCGUAUAGGAGUGAAAGAUUAAUCGAGCUGGGCAUCUGCUGGUUCCUCUCGAAACAUGCCGUAGCAUGACCUGGCCGGAGAUAGACGGUGAGGUAGAGCACUGAUUGGGGGAGCUGGGGGAGAAAUCCCUCACCCUCCUGUCAAACUCCAAAUUCCCCGUCGUCGAAGAUGGCUGGCAGUCCGGACUACGGGGUAAGCUUGUAGUCCGUAAGGGAGACAACCCAGACCGUGGUUAAUGUCCCUCAAUGUAGGCUAAGUGUCAACACUGAAAGGCGUCCCAGGCCAAAGACAACUGGAAGGUGAGCUCAGAAGCAGCUAUCCUUUAAAAAGUGCGUAACAGCUUACCAGUCGAGGUUUGGGGCACUGAAAAUGGACGGGGCUAAAGCCUACUACAGAUACCACGGACCACACGUUUGUGUGAUGGCGUAGAGAGGCGUGCUGCUUGGGUCGAAGCAGGGGCGUGAGCUCCUGUGGACCGGGUAGUAAUGAGAAUUCUGGCAUUAGUAGAAGCAAAGUUGGGUGAGAAUCCCAACCGCCGGAGGGGCUAGGUUUCCUCGGCAAUGUUCGUCAGCCGAGGGUUAGUCGGUCCUAAGGUGUGUCGUAAUUCGAGCACAUCGAAAGGGAAACAGGUUAAUAUUCCUGUACCAUUCAUCCGCAGCGGUUUACCGCCCUGACGCUUCGGGAUAUGCCCGGCAGGGCCGUCGCCCUGUCCAAGCGAUCAAACUCGUGGAGUACCGUAAUGGUGAGAAGCGGGUGAAGGCGUGAUGGAGCAAUCAGGCAAAUUCCUGGAGCCCGUGAAAAGGGGGAUGAAUGACCGUACCGAGAUCUGACACAGGUGCCCCUAGCUGAAGAGGCUAAGGCGUGUCGGUUUAAUCGUGUUAAGGGAACUCGGCAAAUUGGCCCCGUAACUUUGGGAUAAGGGGUGCCUGCCUGGCGAUCAGGCAGGUCGCAGUGACCAGGGGGCUCUGACUGUCUAAUAACAACAUAGGUGACUGCAACUCGGAAACGAUUAGUAUAGUCACUGAUUCCUGCCCAGUGCGAGUAUCUGAAUACCGGGUUCAACCGGACGAAGGACUCGUAAACGGCGGGGGUAACUAUGACCCUCUUAAGGUAGCGUAGUACCUUGUCGCUUAAUUGGCGACUUGCAUGAAUGGAUUAACGAGAGCCCUACUGUCCCUAACACGAAACCGUUGAACAUUUUAUCCUAGUGCAGAGACUAGGGACUCCAGAUGGGAAGUGAAGACCCCGUGGAGCUUUACUGCAGCCUGUCGCUGUGUUACGGUAUUCCUUGCGCAGCGUAGAUGGGAGGCGUCGAACCAUCCCCUCCGGGGGGUGGGGAGCCACCAAUGAGACACCAUCCUUGGUUUACUGUAACACUAACUCAAACUUGAGGACAACGGUAGGUAGGCAGUUUGGGUGGGGCGCCACACCCUCGAAAAAAUAUCAAGGGUGC